UAUCUUAUAGUUCAAAGGUAGAACAAUAUACUUCUAAUAUAUAAAUAUAGGUUCGAUUCCUAUUAAGAUAU
This is a transfer RNA of Candida maltosa Xu316, 71 nucleotides long. It matches the Rfam family "tRNA". Rfam says of the family: Transfer RNA (tRNA) molecules are approximately 80 nucleotides in length. The record is from Rfam. NCBI's taxonomy places the organism in Eukaryota, Fungi, Ascomycota, Pichiomycetes, Serinales, Debaryomycetaceae.